RNAcentral lists this ribosomal RNA (450 nucleotides) under uncultured bacterium. RNAcentral's name for it is "partial 16S ribosomal RNA". It matches the Rfam family "Bacterial small subunit ribosomal RNA", at positions 354 to 796 of the family's 1533-position model. The record is from RNAcentral.
GUGGGGAAUAUUGGACAAUGGGCGAAAGCCUGAUCCAGCCAUGCCGCGUGUGUGAAGAAGGUCUUCGGAUUGUAAAGCACUUUAAGUUGGGAGGAAGGGCAGUAAGUUAAUACCUUGCUGUUUUGACGUUACCGACAGAAUAAGCCCCGGCUAACUUCGUGCCAGCAGCCGCGGUAAUACGAAGGGGGCGAGCGUUAUUCGGAAUCACUGGGCGUAAAGCGUGCGUAGGCGGUUUUGUAAGUUAGGAGUGAAAGCCCAGGGCUCAACCUUGGAAUUGCUCUUAAAACUGCAAGGCUCGAAUCUCGGAGAGGAUAGCGGAAUUUCCAGUGUAGCAGUGAAAUGCGUAGAUAUUGGAAGGAACACCAGUGGCGUAAGCGGCUAUCUGGACGAGUAUUGACGCUGAGGCACGAAAGCGUGGGGAUCAAACAGGAUUAGAAACCCCUGUAGUCC